GUCGAACGGCAGCGCGAGAGAGCUUGCUCUCUUGGCGGCGAGUGGCGGACGGGUGAGUAAUAUAUCGGAACGUGCCCAGUAGCGGGGGAUAACUACUCGAAAGAGUGGCUAAUACCGCAUACGCCCUACGGGGGAAAGGGGGGGAUCGCAAGACCUCUCACUAUUGGAGCGGCCGAUAUCGGAUUAGCUAGUUGGUGGGGUAAAGGCUCACCAAGGCAACGAUCCGUAGCUGGUUUGAGAGGACGACCAGCCACACUGGGACUGAGACACGGCCCAGACUCCUACGGGAGGCAGCAGUGGGGAAUUUUGGACAAUGGGGGAAACCCUGAUCCAGCCAUCCCGCGUGUAUGAUGAAGGCCUUCGGGUUGUAAAGUACUUUUGGCAGAGAAGAAAAGGUAUCCCCUAAUACGGGAUACUGCUGACGGUAUCUGCAGAAUAAGCACCGGCUAACUACGUGCCAGCAGCCGCGGUAAUACGUAGGGUGCAAGCGUUAAUCGGAAUUACUGGGCGUAAAGCGUGUGUAGGCGGUUCGGAAAGAAAGAUGUGAAAUCCCAGGGCUCAACCUUGGAACUGCAUUUUUAACUGCCGAGCUAGAGUAUGUCAGAGGGGGGUAGAAUUCCACGUGUAGCAGUGAAAUGCGUAGAUAUGUGGAGGAAUACCGAUGGCGAAGGCAGCCCCCUGGGAUAAUACUGACGCUCAGACACGAAAGCGUGGGGGAGCAAACAGGAUUAGAUACCCUGGUAGUCCACGCCCUAAACGAUGUCAACUAGCUGUUGGGGCCGUUAGGCCUUAGUAGCGCAGCUAACGCGUGAAGUUGACCGCCUGGGGAGUACGGUCGCAAGAUUAAAACUCAAAGGAAUUGACGGGGACCCGCACAAGCGGUGGAUGAUGUGGAUUAAUUCGAUGCAACGCGAAAAACCUUACCUACCCUUGACAUGUCUGGAAAGCCGAAGAGAUUUGGCCGUGCUCGCAAGAGAACCGGAACACAGGUGCUGCAUGGCUGUCGUCAGCUCGUGUCGUGAGAUGUUGGGUUAAGUCCCGCAACGAGCGCAACCCUUGUCAUUAGUUGCUACGCAAGAGCACUCUAAUGAGACUGCCGGUGACAAACCGGAGGAAGGUGGGGAUGACGUCAAGUCCUCAUGGCCCUUAUGGGUAGGGCUUCACACGUCAUACAAUGGUCGGGACAGAGGGUCGCCAACCCGCGAGGGGGAGCCAAUCUCAGAAACCCGAUCGUAGUCCGGAUCGCAGUCUGCAACUCGACUGCGUGAAGUCGGAAUCGCUAGUAAUCGCGGAUCAGAAUGUCGCGGUGAAUACGUUCCCGGGUCUUGUACACACCGCCCGUCACACCAUGGGAGUGGGUUUCACCAGAAGUAGGUAGCCUAACCGUAAGGAGG
This 1394-nucleotide ribosomal RNA is filed under the name Alcaligenes faecalis. RNAcentral describes it as "bacterial SSU rRNA". It matches the Rfam family "Bacterial small subunit ribosomal RNA". The record is from RNAcentral. Lineage: Bacteria; Pseudomonadati; Pseudomonadota; Betaproteobacteria; Burkholderiales; Alcaligenaceae.